This is a long non-coding RNA of Gossypium arboreum, 812 nucleotides long. RefSeq lists it as uncharacterized. Lineage: Eukaryota; Viridiplantae; Streptophyta; Magnoliopsida; Malvales; Malvaceae. The transcript is spliced from 2 exons. The record is from RefSeq and is a predicted model, not a curated record.
ACUCUUUCCCUAUAAAGCUUCAAGUGUUGUAGGUUAUAUUUAUUAUAACUCUUUCAUUGUUGAAGAUAUACAUAAAUUCUUUCAUAGUUGUGUUGAUUUAGAUGGUGCCAGAGCCUCCUUCAAUUUCUUUUGGAAUUGAAGCAGACACAAUUAUUAUUUCUAUUUAACGCUUCUGUUGUAACCUUCUUCCUUGUACCACAGUCACUAUUUCUGAUUCCAAAAAGGGUAAUUGUGGUUCUCAUGAAAAAAAUAAUAACCCUACAAUUGUUUUCCCAAUACAGGAAAUUCUCUAAUCACCCCAUAAUGCCUUGAUGGAACAAAUUAUAUUAAGUGAUCCCUAAAUGCCAAGAAUAAGAUUCGUGGAAGAAAGCGUUUGGGUUUUAUUUUAGGUAUGAAAGUGCCACCAAAAGAUAAACUUUUAAAUGAGUACGAAACUUGGUAAGAAGAAAAUUUCUUGGUCAAAUCAUGGCUUCUUGAUGCAAUGAAAAAGGACAUCAUAUCAUUAUUCCUUCGCUUGGGCACAACAAAAGAAAUAUGGGAUGUUGUAAAACAAACAUAUUCUUUUGAGCAAGAUGUUUCAAAAGCAUAUCAACUUUAUUGUGAGGUGAUGUCUAUUCAGCAAAAUGUUUGUGCAGAAGCUAAUUGACAGGGAGCCAUGUUUGGAGGGACAAUUGGAGGAGUUGCAAUGAUCACCAAAAGGACCUAUUCAAAAACGGAUCGUAAAUUUAACCAUUGUAAUGGCACAUGUCACAAAGUGGAUAAAUAUUUUUGGUUACAUGGAUAUCUAGAUUGGCACCCAAAAAGCAAGAAGG